UUAGGCGGAUUUAUCUGCCGCUCAUGGAUGGGCCUGCGGUGCAUUAGCUAGUUGGUGAGAUAGUGGCUCACCAAGGCGACGAUGCAUAGCCGACCUGAGAGGGUGAUCGGCCACACUGGGGCUGAGACACGGCCCAGACUCCUACGGGAGGCAGCAGUAGGGAAUCUUCCGCAAUGGACGCAAGUCUGACGGAGCAACGCCGCGUGAGUGAUGAAGGGUUUCGGCUCGUAAAACUCUGUUGUUAAGGAAGAACACUUGAGGUAGUAACUGGCCUUGAGAUGACGGUA
Molecule: ribosomal RNA, 287 nt
Filed under: uncultured bacterium
Lineage: Bacteria
Description: partial 16S ribosomal RNA
Rfam family: Bacterial small subunit ribosomal RNA
Source: RNAcentral